CGCAGCUUGGUGUAGUGGUAGCAUGUCUCUCAAGUAACUCGAAGAGUGAACGGAGGAGGCGCGGGUUCGAUUCCUGCGGUUGCAA
Xylariaceae sp. FL1272 is the source of this 85-nucleotide non-coding RNA. The record is from the annotation of a GenBank genome assembly. Lineage: Eukaryota; Fungi; Ascomycota; Sordariomycetes; Xylariales; Xylariaceae.